UUCGGGGUACGUGCGGCGGGGAAUCAGCGUGAGGUCUCCCUAGGUGGGGGCAACCUUCGGAACCAUGGCUAACCCACAUAUCGUCGAGAGAUGAAUGCCCCUCGCCUGAGGAAGCGCCCGCGUUGAACAGCUAGUUGGUGGGGUAUCUGCUUACCAAGGCGACGCCCAGUAGCUCGUUUGAGAGGAUGCCCAGCCACACUGGGACUGAGACACGGCCCAACUCCUACGGGAGGCAGCAGUGGGGAAUUUUUCCGCAUGGGCGCAAGCCUGACGGAGCAACGCCGCGUGAGGGAGGAAUGUCUGUGGAUGUAAACCUCUUUUCUCCGGGAAAAAAUCCGACGGUACCAGAGGAAUCAGCAUCGGCUAACUUCCGUGCCAGCAGCCGCGGUAAAGACGGAGGAAUGCAAGCGUUAUUCCGGAAUUUAUUGGGCGUAAAGCGUCCGUAGGCGGUUAUUUUAAGUCAGUUUGUUAAAGAAUUGCAGCUUCAACUGUGGGAAAGCAACUGAAACUGAAUGACUAGAGUAUGGUAGGGGUAGAGGGAAUUCCUAGUGUAGCGGUGAAAUGCGUAGAUAUUAGGAAGAACACCAGUGGCGAAAGCGCUCUGCUGGGCCAUAACUGACGCUGAUGGACGAAAGCUAGGGGAGCGAAAGGGAUUAGAUACCCCUGUAGUCCUAGCUGUAAACGAUGGAUACUA
RNAcentral lists this ribosomal RNA (694 nucleotides) under uncultured bacterium. RNAcentral describes it as "bacterial SSU rRNA". It matches the Rfam family "Bacterial small subunit ribosomal RNA", at positions 94 to 818 of the family's 1533-position model. The record is from RNAcentral.